AUGAACGCUGGCGGCGUGCCUAAUACAUGCCAGUCGAGCGCACAGACGAGGAGCUUGCUCCUCUGACGUUAGCGGCGGACGGGUGAGUAACCCGUGGAUAACCUACCUAUAAGACUGGGAUAACUUCGGGAAACCGGAGCUAAUACCGGAUAAUAUAUUGAACCGCCUGGUUCAAUAGUGAAAGACGGUUUUGCUGUCACUUAUAGAUGGAUCCGCGCCGCAUUAGCUAGUUGGUAAGGUAACGGCUUACCAAGGCAACGAUGCGUAGCCGACCUGAGAGGGUGAUCGGCCACACUGGAACUGAGACACGGUCCAGACUCCUACGGGAGGCAGCAGUAGGGAAUCUUCCGCAAUGGGCGAAAGCUUGACGGAGCAACGCCGCGUGAGUGAUGAAGGUCUUCGGAUCGUAAAACUCUGUUAUUAGGGAAGAACAAAUGUGUAAGUAACUAUGCACGUCUUGACGGUACCUAAUCAGAAAGCCACGGCUAACUACGUG
RNAcentral lists this ribosomal RNA (496 nucleotides) under uncultured bacterium. RNAcentral's name for it is "partial 16S ribosomal RNA". It matches the Rfam family "Bacterial small subunit ribosomal RNA", at positions 29 to 507 of the family's 1533-position model. The record is from RNAcentral.